This 459-nucleotide ribosomal RNA is filed under the name uncultured Microvirgula sp. Its description in RNAcentral is "bacterial SSU rRNA". It matches the Rfam family "Bacterial small subunit ribosomal RNA", at positions 67 to 519 of the family's 1533-position model. Lineage: Bacteria; Pseudomonadati; Pseudomonadota; Betaproteobacteria; Neisseriales; Aquaspirillaceae. The record is from RNAcentral.
CGGUAACAGGGGAGCUUGCUCCCGCUGACGAGUGGCGAACGGGUGAGUAAUGCAUCGGAACGUGCCGAAUAGUGGGGGAUAACGCACCGAAAGGUGUGCUAAUACCGCAUACGCCCUGAGGGGGAAAGUGGGGGACCGCAAGGCCUCACGCUAAUCGAGCGGCCGAUGUCGGAUUAGCUAGUUGGUGGGGUAAAGGCUCACCAAGGCGACGAUCCGUAGCGGGUCUGAGAGGAUGAUCCGCCACACUGGGACUGAGACACGGCCCAGACUCCUACGGGAGGCAGCAGUGGGGAAUUUUGGACAAUGGGGGAAACCCUGAUCCAGCCAUGCCGCGUGUCUGAAGAAGGCCUUCGGGUUGUAAAGGACUUUUGUCCGGGAGGAAACCCUGAUCGUUAAUAGCGGUCGGGACUGACAGUACCGGAAGAAUAAGCACCGGCUAACUACGUGCCAGCAGCCGCG